AAACCAACAGGGAUUACCUCAGUAACGGCGAGUGAAGCGGUAAGAGCUCAAAUUUGAAAGCUACCAACAGGUCGCAUUGUAAUUUGUAGAAGAUGCUUUGGGUGUUGACCUAGUCUAAGUUCCUUGGAACAGGACGUCAUAGAGGGUGAGAAUCCCGUAUGUGAUUAGUGUCAGCCCCCGUGUAAAGCUCUUUCGACGAGUCGAGUUGUUUGGGAAUGCAGCUCAAAAUGGGUGGUAAAUUUCAUCUAAAGCUAAAUAUUGGCCAGAGACCGAUAGCGCACAAGUAGAGUGAUCGAAAGAUGAAAAGCACUUUGGAAAGAGAGUUAAACAGUACGUGAAAUUGUUGAAAGGGAAGCGCUUGCAAUCAGACUUGCAGGCAGUCGAUCAUCCGAGGUUCUCCCCGGUGCACUCGAUUGUCUUCAGGCCAGCAUCGGUUUCGGUGGUGGGAUAAAGGCUGUGGGAAUGUGGCUCUUCGGAGUGUUAUAGCCCACGGUGCAAUGCCGCCUACCGGGACCGAGGACCGCGCUUCGGCUAGGAUGCUGGCGUAAUGGUUGUAAGCGAC
Molecule: ribosomal RNA, 562 nt
Filed under: Helotiales sp. OTU35 TS-2013
Lineage: Eukaryota; Fungi; Ascomycota; Leotiomycetes; Helotiales
Description: eukaryotic LSU rRNA
Rfam family: Eukaryotic large subunit ribosomal RNA
Source: RNAcentral